RNAcentral lists this ribosomal RNA (429 nucleotides) under Gemmatimonadota bacterium. RNAcentral's name for it is "Gemmatimonadetes bacterium partial 16S ribosomal RNA". It matches the Rfam family "Bacterial small subunit ribosomal RNA", at positions 355 to 776 of the family's 1533-position model. Lineage: Bacteria; Pseudomonadati; Gemmatimonadota. The record is from RNAcentral.
UAGGGAAUCUUCGGCAAUGGACGAAAGUCUGACCGAGCAACGCCGCGUGAUUGAAGAAGGUUUUCGGAUCGUAAAACUCUGUUGUUAGAGAAGAACAAGGACGUUAGUAACUGAACGUCCCCUGACGGUAUCUAACCAGAAAGCCACGGCUAACUACGUGCCAGCAGCCGCGGUAAUACGUAGGUGGCAAGCGUUGUCCGGAUUUAUUGGGCGUAAAGCGAGCGCAGGCGGUUUCUUAAGUCUGAUGUGAAAGCCCCCGGCUCAACCGGGGAGGGUCAUUGGAAACUGGGAGACUUGAGUGCAGAAGAGGAGAGUGGAAUUCAAUGUGUAGCGGUGAAAUGCGUAGAUAGAUGGAGGAACACCAGUGGCGAAGGCGGCUCUCUGGUCUGUAGCUGACGCUGAGGCUCGAAAGCGUGGGGAGCAAACAGG